UCGUGACGGUGACCAGACCUUGCAG
This 25-nucleotide microRNA is filed under the name Canis lupus familiaris (dog). Its description in RNAcentral is "cfa-miR-8878". Lineage: Eukaryota; Metazoa; Chordata; Mammalia; Carnivora; Canidae. The record is from miRBase by way of RNAcentral.